This 427-nucleotide unclassified non-coding RNA is filed under the name uncultured Inocybe. RNAcentral describes it as "sequence contains ITS2". The stretch from base 1 to 154 matches the Rfam family "5.8S ribosomal RNA". The record is from RNAcentral. Lineage: Eukaryota; Fungi; Basidiomycota; Agaricomycetes; Agaricales; Cortinariaceae.
AACUUUUGGCAACGGAUCACUUGGCUCUCGCAUCGAAGAAGAACGCAGCGAAAUGCGAUCAGUAAUGUGAAUUGCAGAAUUCAGUGAAUCAUCGAAUCUUUGAACGCAUCUUGCGCUCCUUGGUAUUCCGAGGAGCAUGCCUGUUUGAGUGUCAUUCAACCUCUCAACCACGUCAGAUAUCAUGAUGUCGGCUUGGAUGUGGGGGUUUGUUUUUGCAGGCUUUCUGUAAAAAAGAAGCUCGGCUCCCCUGAAAUGUAUUAGUGGUAUCUGUGGGGCUACUAGGUGUGAUAAAUUAUCUAUGACUUUUGGUAUGCCUGCAUGAAACAGAUUACACCGCUUCGAACCAAAAAACAUUGAACUUGAUGAAUUUGACCUCAAAUCAGGUAGGACUACCCGCUGAACUUAAGCAUAUCAAUAAGCGGAGGCU